RNAcentral lists this long non-coding RNA (4969 nucleotides) under Sus scrofa (pig). Its description in RNAcentral is "lncRNA (ENSSSCG00055011658.1)". The record is from RNAcentral. Lineage: Eukaryota; Metazoa; Chordata; Mammalia; Artiodactyla; Suidae.
GUUCCAUGUAAUAAGCAAAACCAUAUACUGCAAAACCAAUUAAGUUGAAAUGGUAUGUUGGUGGUUUGUGCAGGAGCUCAGAGGGCGAUCCAGGUGGGGCGCGUGAGGCAGGUACAGAGAGGAAGGCGAGGCCGAGGUCGUGAAUGAGCCACUGGCUUUGAGCUAUCGCAGGAAGAAGGGCACAAAGUUGAGACAGACCAGCCGAGGGAUUCUUAACAGAAGGGUUUGCCUCUGCUGCCUCCGUCGCAUCUGCUGAUGUGUGGACCCUGGCUUUCAGCUCUCUGGCCUUCGGCUCUUCGCCAACACACAAAAUUCUUUGGAAAAAAAAGAGUACAAGGCAAGACCCUAAAAUCGGGACCGAUCAGAACCUCCAUCCAGGCUCUGAAUUUAAGCGGAUGAGGGCUGAGACUUGGCAUCCCUGGCGUAUUUGGUGACGGUAUAUGGCAGGAGGCACCUGCCACGGUGGGGUUCCAGCACCUCAGAAGUCACUGGGCUCUGAUGCCCUGAACUUCGCAAGGAAGCUGGAGUGUCCCCUAUGUCACAGUCAUGGCACAUCUCCAGGCACCCCUGACCCCACCCAGGGCACCCACGGUCUCUUCCAAAUACCAUCUUGUCGCCAGAUCUCGGGAGCCUCUGCCCUUAGAUCUAAAGAGACAAAGCCAGUGGGCUUGGUUCAGGACCUCUCUGCCCCUCCUCGGUGUACUGUCAUGAGUGGCCACAUACGUGGGGCCCCCGUUCCCCGGGGGCUGCCUAGAGAGGCUCCUAGACCCUGCAGCCCGGGGCUCAGUAGACAAAGCUGCUCAGAAAGGCAUCUCCCACUAUGGAGGUGGCCGGGGCGCGAAGCGGGCAGCUGGGGCCACAAAAUGCCUUCCCCUGGAGAUAAGCUUCUGUCCUGGCCCUGCCUCCCCUUUCAGCCCCAAUUCCUGUCCUCUCCCGGUGCAAUGAAGACGAAGAAAACAGAAAAUGGGACAUCACCCCUCGCUCCGGAGCCCUGAGCAGCUGUUCCACAGCGGACACCAAAGGGGCCAAGUUGGGGGUUCCCUUGGCUUGAGGGGGCUGGUCAGCAGCAGCUAAGAUGUCCCAGCCUUGCGGUCCAUGGUCAGGGAAGCAGACCACAGAGCCAGCCAGGUACACCUGGCAUGGAGCCUAACCCCAUCUGGAGAUGGUGUCCCAGAACCAGUCUGGAAACAAAGCAUGUGGCUGAGUAAGAAGGGCUGAUGGAGUUCCCUUGUGGUGCAGCAGGUGAAGGACCCAGUCGCUGCUGAGGCUUGGGUUCGAUCCCUAGCCUGGGAACUUCCACAAGCUCUGGGCAAGGCCAAAAAAAAAGGUGGCGGGGGAGGGGGGGGCGGUGGCUGAGUGUUUAACAGAAGCCCAGCAGUGUCAGCUAGGCUCAAACCCUCUGGCAAUGCCGUGAGCUGUGGUGUAGGUCGAAGUCACGGCUCGGAUCCCGCAUUGCUGCGGCUGUGGUGUAGGCCGGUGGCUGCAGCUCCAACUGAACCCCUAGCCUGGGAACCUCCAUAUGCCAUAGGUGCGGCCCUAANCCACGGCAUGUGGACAUUCUUAGGCCAGGGAUCCCACCCCACACGACAGCAGCAACCUGAGCUGCUGCAGUGACCAUGCCAGAUCCUUAAUCUGCUGUGCCAUGAGGGGACGCACCUUUUUUUUUUUUAAUUGAGAUAUAGUUGGUUUACAAUGUGGCGUCGGUUUCUGGUGCGCAGCAAAGAACAUAUGCUUUUCUGUUCCAGUUUAUCACAUGACCCUGAGUCUAGUUCCCUGUGCUAUUCAUUAGGAUCUUGCUGUUUCUCUAUUUUAUAUAUAGCAGUUUGUAUUUUCUAAUCCGAAGUCCUAACUUAUCCCUUCCCCACCCACUUCCCCUUCGGUAGCCAUAAGUUUGUUUUCUAAGUCUGGAGUUUCUUUCUAUUCUGUAAAUAUGUUCGUUUGUACCAUAUAUGUGCAUAUAAGUGAUUUCAUGUAUUUGCCUUUCUCUUUUUGACUUACUUCACUUAGUAGGAGAAUCUCUGGGUUCACCCAUGUUGCUGCAAUGGCGUUAUUCCAUUCUUUUUUAUGGCUAACAUCCCACUGUGUAUGUACCACAUCUUAUCCGUUCCUCCGUUAAUGGACAUUUUGGCGGCUUCCAUGUCUUGGCUACUGUAAAUAGUGCUGCAAUGAACAUUGGGGGGCAUGUACCUUUUCAAAUGAGAUUUCUCCAGACACACGCCCAGAAGUGGGAUUCCUGGAUCAUACGGCAACUCUAGUUUUAGUUUUUAAAGGACUCUCCCCACUGUGUUCCAUGACAGUUGCACCAAAUUACAUUCCAACCGUGUGGGAGGGUUCCCUUUCCCCCACGCCUCCUCUUGCAUUUGUUAUUUGCAGAGAGAGCUCUUUUGAUCCUCAGGAAAAUCUUGGUUGUUUUACCCCACUCGUGUCCCUUUUUCAAAUGACAAAAUUGAGGAUUCGAGAAAUCAAGUAAUUUCUCCAAGUUUAUUUAUCUACAAGUGGCAGAGGUGGGAUUUGACAUUAGGUCUGCUCGAUUCCCAAACUCAAACUAUAGUUCCCCCCAGGAGCCCUCAUGCGCUGCCCAGCGGCCAUGUCCUUACAGUUCUAAGGACUGAAGUCUAGGAACGAAAAGGAAAGGAUGGAAGGACCAGGAUUCUUAAGGUCCUGACUCCAGUGCCUCUGUUUCCCUGGGAAGGACUUCAGUUACCAAAACCCAGGUCUAAAAAUCUGUCCUUCCAAAUACCAGCAGCCCUGGGUCUGGUACAGAUGAAACCGCAGCCGCCUCGGACCUAGCUGCAGGGUAACCUCUCUAAUCCUCUGACACAGUUUGGAGGCACCUGCCGCUCCUUGCCCCCAGGACCAGCCUUCCCAGGUGGGUGCCCCUGUUUAGAACGUGCCAUUCCUCUGGGGUGGCUCUUGCCCUGAAUCCCAGCGCAGACCGUAACCACUGGAAAAAAACGUGGCAGUUACAGCCAUAGUGACUUCAGCUCUCACUCUCAGAUGCUGGCUUCCCUGCCUUGGAGGAUUUGACUAAGUUGAGUGGAAAGAAUAACAAAUAUUUUUAGAGUACUUGAUUCGGUUUACAUGGAAAACUGCUGUUUUCUUUCUUUUCUUUCUUUCUUUCUUUCUUUUUUUUUUUUUUUUUUUGUAGGUCAGAAGCAGUCAAGUAUCAGCAGCUUCACAUGCUUCAGCCUUAUGCAGACUUUAUGCUGAUUGGAUCAGUCAAUUAAUCAUUAAUUAAUCCAACCAGCCCAACAGUUAACUGGGCAAACAAAACUGGAGCAAAACUGGAAGAGUAAUGCAUGCAGGGAUGGCACCUACAAAGCAAAGUUUACAUGUCUUAUUAAGGUCCCUGAGCUCCUAAGAGGCAAAGCCGGGUGGGUGGCGAUAUCCUCCUAAAUGCUUCAGACCCUCCAAGGCGGCCCAGCUGGCCCCAAAGGUGACUGAAGAAUGAGCAUGACUUAGAUGGGUGGGGGGAGGGGGGAGCCUCUGGAUGAGGGAGCAGCAUGGCACAGAACGCUAGGUCGAACUGGGGGCAUAGCUGGGAUGAGGAGAGAAAACAACCUAAUGGAGUAGAGGAAGCAUCUGGGACAGUGUGAGCUGGGGAGAGAACGUGGGGUCAGAUUAUAAAAGGUCUUAAAAAAUAGGCAGGGGAGUUUGUAUUUUUAAAACCAUCAGUCCUGGUGCUGGAAGGAACCAAAGAGAUCAUCUUUCCUAGCUCACAGAUUUCAGGCAGGAAAGAUGCUCCCUUCUUAAUUUUAUAAAACAAACAGCUGAGGCUCAGAGAUUUGGUUAGAGAUGGAGGGUAAGCUAGAAUUAUGGUUUCUUGCUUCCUCAUUUGAUGCUUGUUAUAGCUCAUCACACCGAACUUGACUUGCCCUUCAGAAUAAAAAAUAACUGUUUUGCCUAACAAGCUGUCUUAUUUUUAUAGGCUGUUACUAUUUAAAACUGCUUCACAUUUCUAAAGUGCCAACAAGGAAUCACAGGUUCUUAAGGAGAAUUUCUUGGCAGUGACAUAAUAAAAGCAUUUCAGAAGGAUGAGCCUGUCAAAAGCAUUCUAAAUAGAUCAUUAAGAGAGAGAGACUGGAGUGAGGAAAGGGGGACAAAUAAAAGAGGCCCCCCGAGAUGCCCUGGAAACGGGGCCCAGAGGCAAGGCAAGAAUUCCAGAUGAUGCCAGAAGAAGGCUGAGCCACUGACAGAACUGGGGAGGACCAGAACGAGAGCCAGCUCUGAUGGAAAAGAUUCUACAUUUAGGGGAAGGAGGCUGAUGUUUAGGAGGAGGCUGAAGAUAGAAGACUAGACAUCUGUGUGAGGUUGAUGCUGGAAACAGAUUUAGGCAUCAUUAAUGCCGAGAUAAAGAUAGAAGCUAUGAAAAAGGAUGAGUACACCAAGGGUGAGAGUCUUAUGACAAAACUCAAGGUAACUGGCCUCCAACAGAGAAGGCACCUGGCCUCCAAAUUCAAUUUCCCCACCACAGCAUAGAGUCAUUGCCGAGGAAGGGGCUUCCCCGCCGUGAACGUCUGAUGCCAACUCCCCUGGCAUCUAGAAGUUGUCUCCUAUGGAGAAUGAGCGGAAGCGAGAUGCGUCACAUCCAGGCCAAAACCUUAAAGCAGACGUGCCCUGCAUUCUCUUUUUCCCCUUCGGCUGUGGCGGUAACAUUGAGUGGGAUGGUGGGGCCACAGAAUGGAAGGCUCCUGGCUCCCUGGCUAGAGGAAAACCACCUGCCACUGUGGGUUAAAACAUGAGUGAGAAAUGGACUUCUCGGAGUUUCCAUUGUGGCCUAGCAGUUUAUGAACCUCACUAGUAUCCAUGAGGACGCAGGUUCGAUCCUUGGCCUCCCUUAGUGGAUUAAGGAUCUGAUGUUGCUGUGGCUGUGGCAUAGGCCAGCAGCUGCAGCUCUGAUUUGACCCCUAGCCUGGGAACUUCCAUAUGCUGCAGGUGUGGCCCUAAAAGGCAAAAAAGAAAAAAAAAA